RNAcentral lists this ribosomal RNA (246 nucleotides) under uncultured bacterium. RNAcentral's name for it is "partial 16S ribosomal RNA". It matches the Rfam family "Bacterial small subunit ribosomal RNA", at positions 15 to 235 of the family's 1533-position model. The record is from RNAcentral.
GAUCAUGGCUCAGGACGAACGCUGGCGGCGUGCUUAACACAUGCAAGUCGAACGAGAGGACAAGAGAAGCUUGCUUCUUUUGGAAUCGAGUGGCAAACGGGUGAGUAACACGUAAACAACCUGCCUUCAGGGAUGGGGACAACAGACGGAAACGACUGCUAAUACCGAAUACGCUUGGGAGACCGCAUGAUCUUCCAAGGAAAGGGUGGCCUCUACCUGUAAGCUAUCGCCUGAAGAGGGUUUGCG